UUUUAAGCUAUUUCAGUUCACCGCCAUUACUCCAUUAGAAUUUUGUGAGCAAAAGAGAAAAACUUUGUGAAAUCUCAAUCUCAGCUAUGUCUUCGAACAACCCUUCUCAGCUUCUUCCUUCUGAGUUGAUUGAUCGUUGCAUUGGUUCAAAGAUAUGGGUGAUAAUGAAGGGUGAUAAGGAGCUUGUUGGUACACUUAGAGGAUUUGAUGUUUAUGUUAACAUGGUUCUUGAAGAUGUUACUGAAUACGAGAUCACUUCUGAAGGGCGGAGGAUAACAAAACUUGAUCAGAUAUUGCUCAAUGGAAACAACAUUGCUAUCCUGGUUCCUGGAGGGUCGCCACCUGAUGAAUGAUAACUGCAACGCAACUUGUGCUGUUUAGUGAGACUAGUUGAUGAAGAUUUCCGCGAGAUACAUGUAUUUUUAGUAAUUCUCAUGUGUUCAGCUAGGAUCUACUAUCAAUUGUAGUUGCAUUAUAUUGAAAACAUUUAUGGUGAUGAUUCUUGCAAUGGUACUUUGGCUCUGGUGUUGCCAAGCUAUUAGCUUUAAACUCUGUAUGGAGUUUCUACAGGAAUGGUAAAACUCAAAUGGAUCGUUGGUUACUGUUGACGAUCCAUUUUAAUUUCUUUGUGCCCCGAGGGUGUAGUCUAAUGGUUAAUGAAG
Molecule: unclassified non-coding RNA, 662 nt
Filed under: Hevea brasiliensis (rubber tree)
Lineage: Eukaryota; Viridiplantae; Streptophyta; Magnoliopsida; Malpighiales; Euphorbiaceae
Source: RNAcentral